This 301-nucleotide ribosomal RNA is filed under the name uncultured bacterium. RNAcentral's name for it is "partial 16S ribosomal RNA". It matches the Rfam family "Bacterial small subunit ribosomal RNA", at positions 509 to 807 of the family's 1533-position model. The record is from RNAcentral.
CAGUCGCCACGGUAAUACGAACCGUGCGAACGUUAUUCGGAAUUACUGGGCUUAAAGCGCGUGUAGGCGGGCCGCCACGUCGGUUGCUGAAAUCCCCCGGCUCAACCGGGGAAGUGGCAUCGAUACGAGCGGCCUUGAGGGGGGUAGGGGGAUCUGGAACUUCCGGUGGAGCGGUGAAAUGCGUUGAGAUCGGAAGGAACGCCCGUGGCGAAAGCGAGGUCCUGGACCCUUUCUGACGCUGAGACGCGAAAGCCAGGGGAGCGAACGGGAUUAGAUACCCGCGUAGUCCCUGUCUCUUAUA